RNAcentral lists this long non-coding RNA (3291 nucleotides) under Daucus carota (carrot). RNAcentral describes it as "long non-coding RNA (DCAR_LNC004966)". Lineage: Eukaryota; Viridiplantae; Streptophyta; Magnoliopsida; Apiales; Apiaceae. The record is from RNAcentral.
AUAAUGUGAAAUACAACUUCUUCUCCAAGUUUCUCUCUCUCUUCUCUCUAACUGAUUUUCCCUCUCUUUCUCUCUCUAAACUCUGUCUCUCCUGAUCUGAUCUCUCUCUCUCAUUUCUCUCUCAAUUCUACAUCUCUCUGCCCUAAUUCACCUCUGUUUAGCUAUAAUCUCCUGUUGUAUUACUUGAUUUCGUGUGAUUUCAGUUCAUAAACACAGAAAACACCAAAAAUAGCUUUGUCAUACACUGAAGGCAUGACAAAUUGGUAUCAGAGCGAGGUUAAAAACGAUCAUCCUCUGCUUCAAUUGAGUUGCGCUGGUAUAAACUAGGUGUGCGGUUGUGGAAUCACAGUAAUCGCAGGUGUAGUUUGUUAGUUAUGAUCAAAACAGUCCAGGUACUCUGUUUUCUUAGCUGUUCUCAUCAGAUCUGUGAUUGUGUGGUUGUUUCUGUGAAUUUGAAGUGAAGUAUAGUUGAUUUUAGUUCGUUUAUAGUAAUUAGCAGUUUUUAGGGUUUUUAUUAUCAGAAAAUCACAAACGAAGUUGUUGUGGAGUGUUCUCUGUUAACUGAGGUGUGACUCGGUGCCUGUGUAGUGGCUGUGUAGUUGACUUAGUGAGGUGGAGUAAGAACGGUGUGAUUUUGUUAUUGUAGUAAGCUUACAUCAGAGAAUUUGUGUUUUGUGUCGAUUGAUAAUUGGAGAAAUUGUGACAAGAAGUAGGAAGUGUGUUGAAUUCACAGUGCCUAUCAAGUGUUUGAUAAAUUGACGGUGUGAACACCUGUUGAAAGCUUAGUAAAUUGAACAGUUGUGAGCAGUUUGUGGCUGAAUCUUGUGUUUGAUUGUGGAUUGGAGAAGUGACUUUUGUGGUGUAGGCAAAGUGUUUGAUAGUUUGUGUAAGAGAUUACGUGUGCUGAUAAUUGUAUGUCAAUGGAGAGUAGUGACAAAGCCUUUAAUAAUCUUCUACAAGAAGUUCAACAGCAGUUUUAUGGGUUUAGGGAAAAGUCGAGUCAGAGGAUUCAGAAUUUGGAGGAGGAAUUGGAGGAUUUAGUUGCUUUGGCUGCUCAAAAGAUGGAGUUAUUGAAGAAAAGUGAGGCUCAGAAGAGUAGAAGACCUAGAUUGGCAAAUCCUUUUGCAUCAAAACAAGAACCAUUGGAUUCACAUUUUAUUCGGUUUGAGGAAUAUACAGAGCAAUUUAAGGAAACCAUGUCACUGUUUAGGAUAACUCAGGAAGAAGAGAUGUCUUCUCCAGAAAAUUCAGAAUUAAGCCCAGAGGAAAAGUCUGAGAUAAUGUCUGCAAUCUUAGAAUAUCAGAUUGGUAAUUCAGUGCAUCAUCUUGAGUUAAGACCUAAAUCUGAAGGUGCUAGAGUCUCUGAGUCAUCACAUGAUUGGGAGCACCUUGUGGCUGUUGAACCUAUCUAUAAUGAUGACCCUAUCUAUGAGGAAGAUCCAAUGGAAGGCAAGAAGUGUUGGCCAGAGUAUGAACUCAUUUCAGGAGUCCUAGGAGGAGAUAACUUGCACUCAACUUGUUUGUCAGAGGCAGAUUUUUGCACAAGUGAAAAAUUAGAGGAUGUUGGACAUCUGAGAGACAAAUCAGAUGAGGUAUUUGAAGAUGGUGACAUGCCAAAGCUUGUUGAUUGCAGAGAUAAAGAGAAACAAGGUGUUGUUGUGGAGGAAUCUUCAAUCAUCCUUACCAGUAUGAGGGAAUUGAUUGAGGAUGUUCCAUGCAUAGAUAGUCCCGUAACUCCAAAUUACUCUGGUCUAGAAGAGAAGUCCAGCCAUCUUGAUACACAGAUUAUGACCAUCUUUGAUCCAGGGGGUCAUAUGCAAAAAGACCACUCAGCUGUUGAUAUGUUAUUCAAAAAAAUAAUCAUGGCUAAGGAAGUAUGGCUACCAGAAGUGACACUAAGUAACUCAGUUGGUGGCCAACUUGGAUAGUGGCAAUGUGGGGUUAGUUUGAAGAUCUUGGCAAUAAAUCAGCUAUUAAAGGAACACCCUGAGUUGAAGAAGAGAGAUUUUGUAGUUCAGUUUGAGAAUUCAGCUGGCAGACAAGGCCAAGACAUUCAAAAGGAUAAUGAUGAGAUUGACCGAGUCUUCACUGAGAUUAAUGAGGCUGGUGAACUGUAUUGUGGUUCUGUGAGGGCUGGGAUAAUGGGGACAACCUACAGGGACACUGAGCAGAUACAAGGUCCAGGAGAUAUGAAAUUUGAAGUCUCAAGGAAAAAUGUUAUAAUAUACAUAUAUGAUCCAGGAGGCUUUUUAAGUUGUUUCUAUGGAAUUCGAUAUGCUGAUGGUCCUGCAGGAAUUCUAAAUAUUCAACAAGUGGUGCAAGUUUUCAAUAAACAAGAGUUGUACCUGGAAGGAAAAGCAAGCAUAGCAGUGAAGGCCUUACCAGUGAUGUACUUAACCCAGGUGGAAAGAGGUUGUGAAGUGUAUGAUCCACCAUGAGGACAUGGUGAAAUUCAAGGAGGGUGGAAUGUUAGGAAUCAACUUAAGUAGCAGUCUAUAGACAUAUGAGCAGGGAUAGUAGUAGUAGCAAGGGUAAUUGUGUCUUUUCAUUACAAGUUAGUAGAGUCUAUAAAUAGAUCUACUCAGUUGUAUUUUCUAUUAUGCAUAAUAUGAAAUACAACUUCUUCUCCAAGUUUCUCUCUCUCUUCUCUCUAACUGAUUUUCCCUCUCUUUCUCUCUCUAAACUCUGUCUCUCUCUCCUGAUCUGAUCUCUCUCUCUCAUUUCUCUCUCAAUUCUACAUCUCUCUGCCCUAAUUCACCUCUGUUUAGCUAUAAUCUCCUGUUCUAUUACUUGAUUUCCUGUUAUUUCAGUUCAUAAACACAGAAAACACCAAAAAUAGCUUUGUCAUACACUGAAGGCAUGACAAUAUCCUAAUAAGCACAGGAGAACAUGUGACAUUAUUUUUUUAAGAAUUGAACUGCACAGCGCAGACCAAACAAGCAUGAGGCUGGUCUGGUUUGCUUUGUUAUUUUUUUUAAGAGUGUUAACAGUCAUUUUUAAUCGAAGUGAAUCAAGAACAUUCCUAUUAAGGUGUCCAAUACUGUCAAAUAGCAGAGCAUCAAAAAACGCAGGUAUUUAAUUUUAAUCUAUACAUUGUUUUGUCUCCAAUGUCUAAGUAUUCUAUGGGUUAGUUUCUUGAAUCACUGGACUGUUAAAUAUACUUUACUAUAUAUUAGCGUCCUUAUUCAUGUAAUUUUUUUUUAAUAGAUAUUAUUUAAAAACAAAGGCAUUUAUGAUUAAAUUUUUAUGUUAUUAACGAUAUCAUAAUGUUCAUGAAUCAUUAGAAAUUAC